Molecule: ribosomal RNA, 253 nt
Filed under: uncultured bacterium
Lineage: Bacteria
Description: partial 16S ribosomal RNA
Rfam family: Bacterial small subunit ribosomal RNA
Source: RNAcentral
CACGUAGGGCGCAAGCGUUGUCCGGAAUUAUUGGGCGUAAAGAGCUCGUAGGUGGUUUGUUACGUCUGCUGUGAAAACCUAGGGCUUAACCCUGGGCUUGCAGUGGAUACGGGCAGACUAGAGGUAGGUAGGGGAGAAUGGAAUUCCUGGUGUAGCGGUGAAAUGCGCAGAUAUCAGGAGGAACACCGGUGGCGAAGGCGGUUCUCUGGGCAUUACCUGACGCUGAGGAGCGGAAGUGUGGGGAGCGAACAGG